Molecule: transfer-messenger RNA, 122 nt
Filed under: Giesbergeria sp.
Lineage: Bacteria; Pseudomonadati; Pseudomonadota; Betaproteobacteria; Burkholderiales; Comamonadaceae
Description: partial transfer-messenger RNA
Rfam family: transfer-messenger RNA
About the family: Bacterial tmRNA, also known as 10Sa RNA or SsrA, is named for its dual tRNA and mRNA-like properties. Its role is to liberate the mRNA from a stalled ribosome. To accomplish this part of the tmRNA is used as a reading frame that ends in a translation stop signal.
Source: RNAcentral
GGUUUUCCGUAGAGCGUGCGUCUGCGCGAUACGGGAGACGAGAUUCAAAUCAGAACGCUAAACAUGUAGAUCUGCUCAAGGAAGGCUUGCGGACGCGGGUUCAAUUCCCGCCAGCUCCACCA